GUAUGUAGGUCUACAUGUAUAUUCAUUGUACAGCUACGAGCACAUGAACUGCCCUCGAUUAUGCACUUGGAGCAUUAGUCAAUACUAACGAAGGAUAUAUUGUUGUCUGAAUCGUUUACCAUGUUUCGACUACGAGAGAAUUCUGACGGUCAUAUUUGCAAUGGAUUGAUAAACACAUAAAGAUACAGUGCAGAUAUAUUUAUAAACUGUCCCCAGUGAUAUUGUAACUAGUAAGGAAAAGUUAAUGGUGACACUUUAAUGUGUGAUGGAAUUGGACGUUGCUAAAAAGGAGUAGCCUCCCCUGUUAAAGAUCAAUAAUGGUGGAUAAACAAUGCAGGAUGCUGUCAUGUCAUCAACAGAGAGUUUUGACACCCGUAUACCCGUAUUUCUACCAAUCACCUCUGUAACCUUUGUUGUGUUCAUCAGACAGAUGAUGGACCACUCUACUUCCUUUUACAACAGGUGCCCCUACAGAUUCACAAAGUUCCAAUGUUGAUUUUCCAUGACCCCCAUUCAUCCGCGACAGGAAAAGGAAUGAAGUUGACAGGAUUUCCCGCACUGUCCUUGGUAGCAGCUUAUGAUAGAACGGACAGCAGUAGACAUAGCCCGCUUCAUCAAAGGUCUGCUGCAUGUUGGUAGCUGAUGCUGGUUCAAUAUUUGCGCCAAGAAGCAUACCACGCAUACCCUCUGUAGUAAGGCUGGUACCCAUGUGACCGACAGCCAUAGCCACAAAUAGCUGUGCAGCUCUGCGUCCCCUUCUGGAUCUCCCCACCUCUUCAUACAGCUUUUCACGGUGACUUGUAUAGUGGCACUUCUUACAUCGGAUGGAAAGGAUCCAUGCCAGGCAUCGUUUUUCCUCCCCAUGCUGGUUCCAGUCCAGUGAACCAUUACAGUCUGGAAACUUCUAGCUGCCUGGUCUUCUAAGAGAAACUCCAUUCUUUGAUGACUGAUGGAAAAGCCUCAUCACUCCCUACUGCUAAAGAACCACUUAUCUUAAUCACCAGCCAUUUAUCAGUGAUCAUUGCUAUCAAAGCUCCAUGGUGCACAUGAUGCAACUUCCUGGAUGUUUGUCAACAUGUGAAACCCACGUGUAUUUUGAGGUGCGACAGUAUGUCUCCAGGUUAAGUGAUUGUGUAGAUUGAUUCCCAGCAUAAUGAUGAUUUGCCAAAAGAGCAUAUGAAUAGAAAAUUGGUGAUGCUUAAAAAUAUCAGCAGAAUACAGAAAUUAAGAGACACAGAUGGACAAAAACCCUCUAUUUAAUAUAAUUUACAUAUUAGGCCUAUACAACUAGAACAUGUAACAAGUGAAAUUUAAAUGUAUGUAUAUAUUUACUGUAAAUGUAUUAUAUUCAGCGUGUACGAUAUUUGGCGGAAAUUGAUUUUUGAACAAGUUAGCGUGAAUUUGAUUUAGCGAAUUCCUUUUUGUUUUUUUAUUUAUGUGUAGAGUGUAAGACAUUUAGCGUUGUAUUUGAAUGAGCGGAAGUUGCUUUCCGCCAAAGGCGCUAAAAAGAAUACACAACCAAAUGUAAUACGUUUACAGUAUUAGAGCUGUUUUAAUGUAUACAAUUGUGUAUACAUGGUUGCUUGUUUGUUGACUCAGUGUAUAGAACAUGUACUACUAUAAUGUACAUCUUUCAUGUGUUAUUUCAAUGUGAUGUUGAAUCACAUUUAAAAUACAGCAAAGCUUUUACAGCUGAAUCCUGUUGUUGUUUUUUUUAAUUAUGUACAGUUUUGAUUUCCAACAGAUCAAAAAAUAAACAUACUAGAGAAUUCUUCA
Ostrea edulis (European flat oyster) is the source of this 1776-nucleotide long non-coding RNA. RefSeq lists it as uncharacterized. The transcript has 8 exons. Lineage: Eukaryota; Metazoa; Mollusca; Bivalvia; Ostreida; Ostreidae. The record is from RefSeq and is a predicted model, not a curated record.